RNAcentral lists this unclassified non-coding RNA (347 nucleotides) under soil metagenome. Its description in RNAcentral is "partial contains 5.8S ribosomal RNA, internal transcribed spacer 2, and large subunit ribosomal RNA". The stretch from base 1 to 120 matches the Rfam family "5.8S ribosomal RNA", at positions 35 to 154 of the family's 154-position model. The record is from RNAcentral.
GAUGAAGAACGCAGCAAAAUGCGAUAAGUAAUGUGAAUUGCAGAAUUCAGUGAAUCAUCGAAUCUUUGAACGCACAUUGCGCCCGCUGGUAUUCCGGCGGGCAUGCCUGUUCGAGCGUCAUUUCAACCCUCAAGCCCCCGGGUUUGGUGUUGGGGAUCGGCUCUGCCCUUCUGGGCGGUGCCGCCCCCGAAAUACAUUGGCGGUCUCGCUGCAGCCUCCAUUGCGUAGUAGCUAACACCUCGCAACUGGAACGCGGCGCGGCCAUGCCGUAAAACCCCAACUUCUGAAUGUUGACCUCGGAUCAGGUAGGAAUACCCGCUGAACUUAAGCAUAUCAAAAGCGGAGGA